RNAcentral lists this ribosomal RNA (628 nucleotides) under uncultured Russulaceae. RNAcentral's name for it is "LSU rRNA". It matches the Rfam family "Eukaryotic large subunit ribosomal RNA", at positions 47 to 649 of the family's 3401-position model. Lineage: Eukaryota; Fungi; Basidiomycota; Agaricomycetes; Russulales; Russulaceae. The record is from RNAcentral.
UAAGCGGAGGAAAAGAAACUAACAAGGAUUCCCCUAGUAACUGCGAGUGAAGCGGGAAAAGCUCAAAUUUAAAAUCUGGUGGUCUUUGGCCAUCCGAGUUGUAAUCUAGAGAAGCNUCUUCCGCGCUGGACCGUGCACAAGUCUCCUGGAACGGAGCGUCGUAGAGGGUGAGAAUCCCGUCUUUGGCAUGGACACACCAGGGCUUUUGUGAUGCGCUCUCGAAGAGUCGAGUUGUUUGGGAAUGCAGCUCAAAAUGGGUGGUGAACUCCAUCUAAAGCUAAAUAUUGGCGAGAGACCGAUAGCGAACAAGUACCGUGAGGGAAAGAUGAAAAGCACUUUGGAAAGAGAGUGAAACAGUACGUGAAAUUGUUGAAAGGGAAACGCUUGAAGUCAGUCGCGUCGACCGAGACUCAGCCUCGCCUCGGCUUGGUGUACUUCUCGGCCCGACGGGUCAGCAUCAAUUUCGCCUCUUGGAUAAUGGCGAGGGAAACGUGACACCUUUACGGUGUGUUAUAGUCUCUCGUCGCAUGCAAGGGUCGGGAUUGAGGAACUCAGCACGCGCCUUUGGGCGUCGGGGCUUUGCCUACGAUACGUGCUUAGGAUGUUGGCGUAAUGGCUUUAAACGACC